GACGAACGCUGGCGGCGUGCUUAACACAUGCAAGUCGAACGGAAAGGCCCUGCUUGCAGGGUACUCGAGUGGCGAACGGGUGAGUAACACGUGGGUGAUCUGCCCUGCACUUCGGGAUAAGCUUGGGAAACUGGGUCUAAUACCGGAUAGGAACCAUCUUUAGUGUGGUGGUUGGAAAGUUUUUUCGGUGUAGGAUGAGCUCGCGGCCUAUCAGCUUGUUGGUGGGGUAAUGGCCUACCAAGGCGGCGACGGGUAGCCGGCCUGAGAGGGUGUACGGCCACAUUGGGACUGAGAGACGGCCCAGACUCCUACGGGAGGCAGCAGUGGGGAAUAUUGCACAAUGGGCGCAAGCCUGAUGCAGCGACGCCGCGUGGGGGAUGAAGGCCUUCGGGUUGUAAACUCCUUUCGCUAGGGACGAAGCUUUUUGUGACGGUACCUAGAUAAGAAGCACCGGCUAACUACGUG
Molecule: ribosomal RNA, 465 nt
Filed under: uncultured bacterium
Lineage: Bacteria
Description: partial 16S ribosomal RNA
Rfam family: Bacterial small subunit ribosomal RNA
Source: RNAcentral